AUUGAACGCUGGCGGCAUGCCUUACACAUGCAAGUCGAACGGCAGCACGGGGGCAACCCUGGUGGCGAGUGGCGAACGGGUGAGUAAUGCAUCGGAACGUGCCCUGAAGUGGGGGAUAACGUAGCGAAAGUUACGCUAAUACCGCAUAUUCUGUGAGCAGGAAAGCAGGGGAUCGCAAGACCUUGCGCUUUAGGAGCGGCCGAUGUCGGAUUAGCUAGUUGGUGGGUAAGAGCUCACCAAGGCGACGAUCCGUAGCGGGUCUGAGAGGAUGAUCCGCCACACUGGGACUGAGACACGGCCCAGACUCCUACGGGAGGCAGCAGUGGGGAAUUUUGGACAAUGGGCGCAAGCCUGAUCCAGCCAUGCCGCGUGAGUGAAGAAGGCCUCGGUUGUAAGUAC
This 399-nucleotide ribosomal RNA is filed under the name uncultured bacterium. Its description in RNAcentral is "bacterial SSU rRNA". It matches the Rfam family "Bacterial small subunit ribosomal RNA", at positions 30 to 431 of the family's 1533-position model. The record is from RNAcentral.